This 491-nucleotide ribosomal RNA is filed under the name uncultured bacterium. Its description in RNAcentral is "partial 16S ribosomal RNA". It matches the Rfam family "Bacterial small subunit ribosomal RNA", at positions 28 to 507 of the family's 1533-position model. The record is from RNAcentral.
GAUGAACGCUGGCUAUAGGCUUAACACAUGCAAGUCGAGGGGCAACGACGGGUAAGCUUGCUUCGCCUGGCGUCGACCGGCGCACGGGUGAGUAACGCGUAUCCAACCUGCCUCUCACUGAGGGAUAACCCGUCGAAAGUCGGCCUAAUACCUCGUGCCCUCUUCUUCGGGCAUCCAACGUCGAGUAAAUAUUUCUCCCUUCAAGGUUGGCGAUGCGUCUGAUUAGCUGGUUGGCGGGGUAACGGCCCACCAAGGCGACGAUCAGUAGGGGUUCUGAGAGGAAGGUCCCCCACAUUGGAACUGAGACACGGACCAAACUCCUACGGGAGGCAGCAGUGAGGAAUAUUGGUCAAUGGGCGAGAGCCUGAACCAGCCAAGUAGCGUGAAGGAUGACGGCCUUAUGGGUUGUAAACUGCUUUUAUGCGGGGAUAAAGUGAGGGACGUGUCCUUCAUUGCAGGUACCGCAUGAAUAAGGACCGGCUAAUUCCGUG